Castor canadensis (American beaver) is the source of this 119-nucleotide small nucleolar RNA. NCBI's taxonomy places the organism in Eukaryota, Metazoa, Chordata, Mammalia, Rodentia, Castoridae. The record is from Ensembl.
CACGUCCUGGUGCUUACCACAGACUAUGUUCUUAUACUGACUGUAUAGAUAGAAGAGGAAGAAAAGUAAAUCUAAUCCAGGCCUUGUGCCUGGUCUGUAUGGUGAAUGGGAAGACAUGG